Molecule: ribosomal RNA, 499 nt
Filed under: uncultured Bacteroidales bacterium
Lineage: Bacteria; Pseudomonadati; Bacteroidota; Bacteroidia; Bacteroidales
Description: bacterial SSU rRNA
Rfam family: Bacterial small subunit ribosomal RNA
Source: RNAcentral
GAUGAACGCCAGCGAUAGGCUUAACACAUGCAAGUCGAGGGGUAACGUGUUGGAAGCUUGCUUCCGAUGACGACGACCGGCGGAUGGGUGCGUAACGCGUAUGCAACUUGCCUCACAGAGGAGAAUAACCCGGAGAAAUCCGGACUAAUGCUCCAUACACUCUUGAGUACGCCUGUACAUGAGAGGAAAGAUUUAUCGCUGUGAGAUAGGCAUGCGUCCUAUUAGGUAGUUGGUGAGGUAACGGCUCACCAAGCCGACGAUAGGUAGGGGUGCUGAGAGGCAGAUCCCCCACAUUGGGACUGAGACACGGCCCAAACUCCUACGGGAGGCAGCAGUGAGGAAUAUUGGUCAAUGGAGGAAACUCUGAACCAGCCAAGUCGCGUGAAGGAAGAAUGUCCUAAGGAUUGUAAACUUCUUUAGCGAGCGAGUAAGGACUUCCACGUGAUGGGAGUUUGAAAGUAGCUCGAGAAUAAGUAUCGGCUAACUCCGUGCCAGCAGC